ACACACACACACACACACACACACACACACACACACACACACAUAAAGAUAACACAUCAAGUGUUUCACUCUUAGUUAAAUGAUUUAUAAAAGUCAAAUCACAAAAUAAAUGCAGGCUAUAAACAAUUGAACACAUGCCUGCAUUGCAACAUAUAUCAAGUAAAUUGCAAAACAACUGCAACUGCAUUGCUACAAUCCCAAACCACUACUUGUAAUGGCAGCCAGCUCUGGACACUAUUGGAGUGAUGCAAGGCAGUCCAUGAAGCUGAUUGCUUCUCUCUGCAAGUGAAGACACGCAAGGUGUGGCCCUUAGUGUGGGUGGGACCUUGGACAUGCUGCGUGAUGUUAAAGCACUCCAAUAGUGACAGAAACUCAGCGGCAAAGGUGCAGGUUCUGGAGUCCACGUGGAUGUUAAAAUCACCUAGCAGUAGUGUGGAUGGGGACAUGGAGCAGAUUGAGGUGAGAAGCUCAGACAACUCAGACAUGAAUGACGUGGAAGGUUUGGGGGAAGGUAAAUGAGGACGACCUGCUGCUUUGAGGGGGCAGCCACUGAGAAGGCAAUGCACUCAAGUGACAUUUUAUUCUCACAAGCAGCUGUUUGACAGGGAUAUCUGCUCUGUGGAUGACUGCCAGCCCACCACCAAGACCAAUGGAGCGGGGCUGUUGGAGAUAAGCAUAACCUGGGGGGGUGGCUAGGUUGAGUGUGAGGAAGUCCUGUUGGUUUUGCCAUGUCUCAGUGAGGCAGAGAAAAUCCAAUUUCCUAUCAAUGAUGAUUUCAUUAAUAAGUGAUGCUUUGUUGUUAAGGGAACGGGUAUUUAACAACAUGAAUGUGUGAGAGUUGUUAUAUGUUGCAAUGGCUGGUAAAACAGUGAUACCAUCAACACAGGCCAAGGGCUUCAGGUUAACACUGCACACGUGUGGUUUGUUGUGAUGACGUAAGUGGGCGGUGACGGGGCGCCGGGACCACACAGUUGGGAUAGUGUCAGCUGAGCCGGUGUAAACAAACCCACGUUUGGAACCUCUGUGGACAUACCUGGGUCUGCCAACUCGUAACAGCCCGAGGCCAAACCAGCGAAGCGAGGCUCGGCCAACGUGUCGUUUGCGGAUCUGUGGCAGAUCGGCCAGCCGCCCAACACCACCAAGUCCUAGAAGCAUCUGAGCUAAUUAACAACUGCAGAGUGUAAAUAAUAUAUUUUAUUUAAUCAACUAGGGUAGGCGAUGUGUUGUAGUACUAUUGUCUGGAAUAAAGAACAGCAUUUCCUCUCGCAGGAAAAUGUACUUUGAGAAAACCA
Gymnodraco acuticeps is the source of this 1292-nucleotide long non-coding RNA. RefSeq lists it as uncharacterized. The transcript is spliced from 2 exons. The record is from RefSeq and is a predicted model, not a curated record. NCBI's taxonomy places the organism in Eukaryota, Metazoa, Chordata, Actinopteri, Perciformes, Bathydraconidae.